AGUGGCACCGGCACCGGGGUAGGGUGGGGCGAGCAGGGCGCUAGAACCGGAGCGAGGUGGGGCAAAGCAGAGCCAACACAGAGAGGACAAGAGCGUGGAGGACCGUGGCCACCCCGCAGGCGAGGAAGCAGUGGCGAAUCUAGGAUUUUAUCUAGGAUUUUCAUAUAUAAUUUGGUAAAUCCAUUUUAUUAAUUCAUUAAUAAUUAUAAAAUUGACAAUAUUAUUUGGUAUAUAUGCAAAAAAUAAUAGAAUAAGGCUUAAAUUUAUGGAUUAAUUAAGUUCAAACUAUCCACUAAGUAUUUUAGCGCUAAGCAAUUAGCAAUUAAAGUACACAUGAAUUUUUUAAAAAGACGAAGAACAAAAAAUUUGAUUAAAAAUUUACCAGGAUCACGAGAUCACGAGCGAGACUUGACGAGGACGAGGAUGAGGAUAAUUGGACAACGAUGGGCGGGGCAACAGCAGAUCGCCGACGGCAUGAACGGUGCCGAGCCGCCGACGUAGGGCAGGGCGAAGACUCGCGAUGCGCUUCCAAAGUUCCCGGUUCUACAUGAUCCCUAUUGACUGCCAACGGUAAUACGUCAUGAACUGAUGCGUAUUGGCAUAUUGGCCAUGUCUCGUUGGGCUGUUGGGAGCAUGGGCCGGCCUGACGCUCGCUGACUCCAGAGUCCAGACUCCACCUGCUAACGCUCGCAGACUCACACAGCCACACUCGCGGACAGAUGAGCAUUUUUUUCUAAUACCUAUAUAUACUCGAUGUCUACACGAAUUGUAGGGUAUGCCUAGCUACGCCACUGCGAGGAAGAGCACGGCCGCGCCAGCAGGGCAGGGCAGCACAUCCCAAUGAGACAAGCACAUGGUGGAGGUGAGCUUCCUAGGCGGUGAGGUGAGAUUUGUUAGCUGGGAUUGACAUAGUUUCAGAGUGAAAUCGUCCAUGGCCUGCUCGGGAGUUCCUGUUUCUGUUGUGCUACAGCGAAAAGGAACAAGGAGUUCAUCAAAGCAAAUA
This 1003-nucleotide long non-coding RNA is filed under the name Sorghum bicolor (sorghum). RNAcentral describes it as "long non-coding RNA (SBIC_LNC013458)". Lineage: Eukaryota; Viridiplantae; Streptophyta; Magnoliopsida; Poales; Poaceae. The record is from RNAcentral.